Molecule: long non-coding RNA, 494 nt
Organism: Arabidopsis lyrata subsp. lyrata
Lineage: Eukaryota; Viridiplantae; Streptophyta; Magnoliopsida; Brassicales; Brassicaceae
Exons: 2
Source: RefSeq, a predicted model, not a curated record
UUAAUGGUGAAUUAAAAUAAAUGUGAAAUCACGAAUUAAACUAAGAAACGUCUGUUAACUAAGAGACAAAAACUUUGCUAAGAGACGUCCACGUGGCAGCAUGCGAGUAGGUGGCUUUUUUUUUCUUUCUCUCUCUCUCUUCUCUCAUUUCGCGAUUUCCUCAAACAGAGAGAAACCGGAAUCACCUCAAAUCGGAGGAGUCUCCGACGUUAAGCACCUCCGGCCGUCGUUCCACCGUUAGCUCGUCAUCUCCACCGACUCCGGUUGUCCACGGCGUCUUCGGUUCACCAAAUCGGCGAGGUUGGCUUACAAGUCUUCCACCAAGAGCCAAGAGUUUUGCGAUUUAACAUCAAAGGAGGAGAUUAGGAAGAUUGAUCUUGAUUGAACAAGAUGUUGAUAAACAUCAGAUGGUUCUAAUUGGCUUUCAAUCUUUAAACCUUUUUGAUUAUGGUAUGUAUCCAAAGUUUGAUCCUUUUUGAUCGAUGCAAUCUCAU